UACGGAGGAUGCGAGCGUUAUCCGGAUUUAUUGGGUUUAAAGGGUGCGCAGGCGGCACGGCAAGCCGGCGGUCAAAUCGCGGGGCUCAACCCCGCCCAGCCGUCGGAACUGCCGGGCUAGAGUGGGCGAGAAGUGCGCGGAAUGCGUGGUGUAGCGGUGAAAUGCAUAGAUAUCACGCAGAACUCCGGUUGCGAAGGCAGCGCACCGGCGCCCUACUGACGCUCAGGCACGAAAGCGUGGGUAUCGAACAGG
This 252-nucleotide ribosomal RNA is filed under the name uncultured bacterium. Its description in RNAcentral is "partial 16S ribosomal RNA". It matches the Rfam family "Bacterial small subunit ribosomal RNA", at positions 524 to 776 of the family's 1533-position model. The record is from RNAcentral.